This 387-nucleotide ribosomal RNA is filed under the name uncultured bacterium. RNAcentral describes it as "bacterial SSU rRNA". It matches the Rfam family "Bacterial small subunit ribosomal RNA", at positions 30 to 418 of the family's 1533-position model. The record is from RNAcentral.
AUUGAACGCUGGCGGCAGGCCUAACACAUGCAAGUCGAACGGUAACGGGAAGAAGCUUGCUUCUUUGCCGACGAGUGGCGGACGGGUGAGUAAUGCUUAGGGAUCUGCCUUUGAGUGGGGGACAACAGUUGGAAACGACUGCUAAUACCGCAUAACGCCUACGGGCCAAAGGGGGCUUCGGCUCUCGCUCAGAGAGGAACCUAAGUGAGAUUAGCUAGUUGGUGGGGUAAUGGCUCACCAAGGCGACGAUCUCUAGCUGGUCUGAGAGGAUGAUCAGCCACACUGGAACUGAGACACGGUCCAGACUCCUACGGGAGCAGCAGUGGGGAAUAUUGCACAAUGGGCGCAAGCCUGAUGCAGCCAUGCCGCGUGUAUGAAGAAGGCCUU